UUAAAUUGCUGUGGUAUUUUGACUAUAAAAAGUUUUUGAAAUAGGAUUUAAUUUGAAUGCUAAGAGAAUGGACUCUCAGAGAAAAACUUUUUUUAAAUUAAAAAUUGAAAUUUUUUUAAUUUGUGCAGAAACAAUUAUUAAUAUUAAGGACAAGAAGACCCUAUGAAUUUAUUAAAUUUCAUUCAAUAUGUAAUUACUAUUGAAGAAAUUUUGGCUGGGGCGGCUAAAAAAUAUUUUAAACUUUUUAAAAAUAAAAUGAUCCAUUAUUAAUGAUUAUAUGUUAAAUACUCUAGGGAUAACAGCGUUAUAUUUUUUGAUAGACCAUAUUGACAAAAAAGUUUGCGACCUCGAUGUUGGAUUAGGAUACUUUUUUAAUGCAGAUAUUAAAAAAAGAAGUUUGUUCAACUUUCAAUUUCCUACAUGAUCUGAGUUCAGACCGG
This 440-nucleotide ribosomal RNA is filed under the name Rhipicephalus turanicus. Its description in RNAcentral is "partial 16S ribosomal RNA". The stretch from base 148 to 440 matches the Rfam family "Bacterial large subunit ribosomal RNA", at positions 2078 to 2619 of the family's 2925-position model. The record is from RNAcentral. Lineage: Eukaryota; Metazoa; Arthropoda; Arachnida; Ixodida; Ixodidae.